This 470-nucleotide ribosomal RNA is filed under the name uncultured bacterium. RNAcentral describes it as "bacterial SSU rRNA". It matches the Rfam family "Bacterial small subunit ribosomal RNA", at positions 28 to 508 of the family's 1533-position model. The record is from RNAcentral.
GACGAACGCUGGCGGCGUGCUUAACACAUGCAAGUCGAACGGUGAAGGAAGAGCUUGCUCUUCUGGAUCAGUGGCGAACGGGUGAGUAACACGUGAGUAACCUGCCCUUGACUCUGGGAUAAGCGUUGGAAACGACGUCUAAUACCGGAUACGAGCUGAGACCGCAUGGUCAUCAGUUGGAAAGAUUUUUUGGUCAAGGAUGGACUCGCGGCCUAUCAGCUUGUUGGUGAGGUAAUGGCUCACCAAGGCGACGACGGGUAGCCGGCCUGAGAGGGUGACCGGCCACACUGGGACUGAGACACGGCCCAGACUCCUACGGGAGGCAGCAGUGGGGAAUAUUGCACAAUGGGCGCAAGCCUGAUGCAGCAACGCCGCGUGAGGGAUGACGGCCUUCGGGUUGUAAACCUCUUUUAGUAGGGAAGAAGCGAAAGUGACGGUACCUGCAGAAAAAGCACCGGCUAACUACGUGC